GUUGGUGGGUAAUUGCGUGUCGCUUUAAGCGGCAUGAGGAAAGUCCAUGCUCGCACUGACUGUGAUGUCAGUAGUGUUCGUGCUAGCUGAAAAAAUAAGGCUAGGCAGCUUGUAAAAGUUGACGGCCAACGAACGACCUAAAGACUUUGUCCAUGGUUUAAUAGUUGUGAAAGUGCCACAGUGACGAGCCAAUCAAGAAAUUGAUUGGGUGGAACGCGGUAAACCCCUCGAGCGGGCAACCCAAACUUUGGUAGGGGCGCUUGACCUAGCGAAUUGAAGUGAUGGUCGGGGAGACAGUAAUGUCUGAGAUAGAUGAUUACCACUACAAAUAAUCUGCCACAUUAUUUGUAGAACAAAACAUGGCUUACAGCU
RNAcentral lists this RNase P RNA (372 nucleotides) under Weissella ceti. RNAcentral's name for it is "Weissella sp. 1119-1A-09 Bacterial RNase P class B". It matches the Rfam family "Bacterial RNase P class B". From Rfam's summary of the family: Ribonuclease P (RNase P) is a ubiquitous endoribonuclease, found in archaea, bacteria and eukarya as well as chloroplasts and mitochondria. Its best characterised activity is the generation of mature 5'-ends of tRNAs by cleaving the 5'-leader elements of precursor-tRNAs. Cellular RNase Ps are ribonucleoproteins. RNAcentral also lists the same sequence under 1 other name. The record is from Rfam by way of RNAcentral. Lineage: Bacteria; Bacillati; Bacillota; Bacilli; Lactobacillales; Lactobacillaceae.